GUCCCUGUAGCAUAAUAGGAAAAUGCCUUCGCCUCCUAAGCGAAAGAUUGGGUGUUCGAAUCACCUCAGGGACGCCA
RNAcentral lists this transfer RNA (77 nucleotides) under Bacilli bacterium. Its description in RNAcentral is "tRNA-Arg". It matches the Rfam family "tRNA". From Rfam's summary of the family: Transfer RNA (tRNA) molecules are approximately 80 nucleotides in length. Their secondary structure includes four short double-helical elements and three loops (D, anti-codon, and T loops). Further hydrogen bonds mediate the characteristic L-shaped molecular structure. tRNAs have two regions of fundamental functional importance: the anti-codon, which is responsible for specific mRNA codon recognition, and the 3' end, to which the tRNAs corresponding amino acid is attached (by aminoacyl-tRNA synthetases). tRNAs cope with the degeneracy of the genetic code in two manners: having more than one tRNA (with a specific anti-codon) for a particular amino acid; and 'wobble' base-pairing, i.e. permitting non-standard base-pairing at the 3rd anti-codon position. The record is from RNAcentral. Lineage: Bacteria; Bacillati; Bacillota; Bacilli. RNAcentral also lists the same sequence under 1 other name.